RNAcentral lists this ribosomal RNA (877 nucleotides) under Salmonella enterica. Its description in RNAcentral is "partial 23S ribosomal RNA". It matches the Rfam family "Bacterial large subunit ribosomal RNA", at positions 1926 to 2802 of the family's 2925-position model. Lineage: Bacteria; Pseudomonadati; Pseudomonadota; Gammaproteobacteria; Enterobacterales; Enterobacteriaceae. The record is from RNAcentral.
AACGGCGGCCGUAACUAUAACGGUCCUAAGGUAGCGAAAUUCCUUGUCGGGUAAGUUCCGACCUGCACGAAUGGCGUAAUGAUGGCCAGGCUGUCUCCACCCGAGACUCAGUGAAAUUGAACUCGCUGUGAAGAUGCAGUGUACCCGCGGCAAGACGGAAAGACCCCGUGAACCUUUACUAUAGCUUGACACUGAACAUUGAGCCUUGAUGUGUAGGAUAGGUGGGAGGCUUUGAAGUGUGGACGCCAGUCUGCAUGGAGCCGACCUUGAAAUACCACCCUUUAAUGUUUGAUGUUCUAACGUGGACCCGUUACCCGGGUUGCGGACAGUGUCUGGUGGGUAGUUUGACUGGGGCGGUCUCCUCCUAAAGAGUAACGGAGGAGCACGAAGGUUGGCUAAUCCUGGUCGGACAUCAGGAGGUUAGUGCAAUGGCAUAAGCCAGCUUGACUGCGAGCGUGACGGCGCGAGCAGGUGCGAAAGCAGGUCAUAGUGAUCCGGUGGUUCUGAAUGGAAGGGCCAUCGCUCAACGGAUAAAAGGUACUCCGGGGAUAACAGGCUGAUACCGCCCAAGAGUUCAUAUCGACGGCGGUGUUUGGCACCUCGAUGUCGGCUCAUCACAUCCUGGGGCUGAAGUAGGUCCCAAGGGUAUGGCUGUUCGCCAUUUAAAGUGGUACGCGAGCUGGGUUUAGAACGUCGUGAGACAGUUCGGUCCCUAUCUGCCGUGGGCGCUGGAGAACUGAGGGGGGCUGCUCCUAGUACGAGAGGACCGGAGUGGACGCAUCACUGGUGUUCGGGUUGUCAUGCCAAUGGCACUGCCCGGUAGCUAAAUGCGGAAGAGAUAAGUGCUGAAAGCAUCUAAGCACGAAACUUGCCCCGA